GGGCCUGUAGUUUAAUGGUAAAACGCUACUUUCGCAUAGUAGAAAGUAUGGGUUCGAUUCCCAUCAGGUCCA
RNAcentral lists this transfer RNA (72 nucleotides) under Parcubacteria group bacterium ADurb.Bin159. RNAcentral describes it as "tRNA-Ala". It matches the Rfam family "tRNA". Rfam says of the family: Transfer RNA (tRNA) molecules are approximately 80 nucleotides in length. The record is from RNAcentral.